Long non-coding RNA from Strongylocentrotus purpuratus (purple sea urchin), 178 nucleotides. RefSeq lists it as uncharacterized. The transcript is spliced from 2 exons. The record is from RefSeq and is a predicted model, not a curated record. NCBI's taxonomy places the organism in Eukaryota, Metazoa, Echinodermata, Echinoidea, Camarodonta, Strongylocentrotidae.
GAGUAAGUUACCCGAUCCCUUUAAAUGUGUUUGCAUUAAAGGGGGGGGCGGGGGUGGUACUACUUCUUCAUAAGAUGUCAACUUAUAUGCAUUGCAUUAAACCUGUUGAUAUUGAUCUAACUUGUAUUCAUCUCAUGGUUAUAUGUAUUUUAUCAAUAAAAUAAAACAACACAGAGAA